Long non-coding RNA from Homo sapiens (human), 539 nucleotides. The record is from Ensembl. NCBI's taxonomy places the organism in Eukaryota, Metazoa, Chordata, Mammalia, Primates, Hominidae.
CACCGCACCGCCGGGAAGCGACGCCCACCUGUUUGCUCAGAUAUUGCCAUUUCCAGGCCAUGACACCUGCACCCUGAAUGUGACACAGCAAAACAUUGACUCUCCACUGGCAUCAGACAUACAGGAAUUAUGAAGGAUGAAACCAUCUCCCCCAGGCCUUCAAUAAGUGCAAGUGGAUUGCUUUGUAAACAGAAGUGCAAACUCGUUCCGAUAGUGGUUCCGCACCAGUGCUCGGCAGCCGCCCUGGCACAGCGGGCAGUAGAGACAGCUGCUGCACCUGUCGCCUAAGGCCGAGAGGGCCGGGAGGCCGCUCCUGGAGGGGGCGCACUGACCGGUGAUGCGCUCCUCCAGUCUCCAGGGCAUCUUUAGCUUCUCGGCCUCUGGGCUUCCCAGCUUGCUGCACACCUCGGGCCUGUACCCACUGCUGUCAGUUGAAAGCGUGCAUUCUGGAAAGCCACAGUGGGACAUCCCUAAUGCACACCCUUCCUUCUUCACCUUCUCCCUGGACACCUUUGCUAAGAGAUUUGGCUAAUUUCUUC